Molecule: long non-coding RNA, 1041 nt
Organism: Rhododendron vialii
Lineage: Eukaryota; Viridiplantae; Streptophyta; Magnoliopsida; Ericales; Ericaceae
Exons: 2
Source: RefSeq, a predicted model, not a curated record
UUUUACGCACCGUUUCUUGAUUCAAAAACUAGACUCGUAUAUCUUUCUGAAUAUGUUUGGGCUGUGUCGUGGCUCUUUCUAGAUUAUAGCAGUUUUUGAAUUAAAGUUCAGGUUUUGGUACUUCUGAAAUUCUGGACAGCUUUUGGCUUGUGUUUGUCAUGAAAUUCCUCAAGUUUAAGCAUGCUGGGUGGACAUGGGUUCUCAUGAGUCUUAAACAUUGAUCAAUUGGUGAUGUUUUGGUGUUGGUAUUAUUGGAAAAUAUUGAGUAUAUGAUUUUUAAUGAGCUUUCGAUCGCAAACUGUUCUGCUGAAAACUGUGAAUUCUGCUUUAGAUGUGUAACUUCAUUUGAGCGUAUCUUGGUCAUUCGGACUCCGUUUAGGACAAAUUUUAUAUCAAAAUUCAUGUACCGGAGGUGUACUUUCUAAUGGUGGUGGUUUCAUAAUCUGGUUUUAACCCUAUAAGAAGUUAUAGGCAGAAUACGACAGGCUGGUCAUAGAUUUCAAACCAAAUGUAGGAGUUAUGUGGUGUUUGAGUGUUACACUUGUUUAGGGACAAUUCUAAACCUUUGAGAUAGACAUGUUAGUAUGCGUUAAGUAUUGUUAAUCUAUUGUUGGUGUUAUAGAGUAUUGUUAGGAGGUAGUUUUGACGUUUAAGCGUUCAAUAAACUGAUAUGGUUAGCUUGUGGUUAGGUAACAAGCCGAUCAAUUGGAGAGGUUCCGAAACUGUAAGUUUGGCGUACCUCGGUCGAUACAAGGUAGCAGGUUGUGUAGAGUGGGUCCACUACCGGUCAUCGUGUUGAGAAGUGUUUGGGCUAGCGUCGGAUGAUGUGGAUAAGCGAGUUGGUUGUAGGUAGUGAACUAAAAAGUUGAUUUAUAUAAGUUAUAAAUAUGUUGUUGGUGGAUGUGUUGAAGUGUAGAAUUUUUAAAGUAUUGUAAAACUAUAUUGUGAUUUAGUUGUGCGAGGUCAUGGUUGGUUGGUCGAUACGUCGACUCAUUUUUAUGUUAAGGUGAUAAGUCUUCCGCUGGGUGUUUAUUCUGACAA